UAGACUUUGUAUAGCUUUCUCAUUAAC
This 27-nucleotide non-coding RNA is filed under the name Mus musculus (house mouse). Lineage: Eukaryota; Metazoa; Chordata; Mammalia; Rodentia; Muridae. The record is from RNAcentral.